UUUUCCCACCAGGUUUCGAACCUGGGACCGAAAGCGUGUGAGGCGGUCGUGAUAACCGCUACACCAUGGGAAC
Molecule: non-coding RNA, 73 nt
Organism: Araneus ventricosus
Lineage: Eukaryota; Metazoa; Arthropoda; Arachnida; Araneae; Araneidae
Source: the annotation of a GenBank genome assembly